RNAcentral lists this long non-coding RNA (283 nucleotides) under Mytilus galloprovincialis (Mediterranean mussel). The record is from RNAcentral. Lineage: Eukaryota; Metazoa; Mollusca; Bivalvia; Mytilida; Mytilidae.
CCACACGAUUUUUGAUAAAGUAUGUAAAGCAUCCUUGAGAAAAAAAAAAGAAAAAAAAAAUGACAGAAAAUAAUAAUAAAAAAAAUGGUUUGAUCAAGAUUUAGAACAACUUAAAAAAAUUGUCACAGAAAAGGGCAAUUUAAUGUCAAAAUUUCCAAAAGACCCAAUCGUACGGGGCUCUUUUUUUAAGACAAAUAAAAAAUACUCAAAACUGAGGAGAUAAAAGAAAAUAGAAUUCAAACAGCUUAUCUUAGAUCGCUUGGACAAUUUGGAAACCGAAAAC